This 461-nucleotide ribosomal RNA is filed under the name uncultured bacterium. RNAcentral describes it as "partial 16S ribosomal RNA". It matches the Rfam family "Bacterial small subunit ribosomal RNA", at positions 338 to 795 of the family's 1533-position model. The record is from RNAcentral.
CCUACGGGAGGCAGCAGUGAGGAAUAUUGGUCAAUGGGCGGGAGCCUGAACCAGCCAAGUCGCGUGAGGGAAGACGGUCCUAUGGAUUGUAAACCUCUUUAGGCGGGGAGCAAUGCCGGGCACGCGUGCCCGGAGGGAGAGUACCCGCAGAAUAAGCAUCGGCUAACUCCGUGCCAGCAGCCGCGGUAAUACGGAGGAUGCGAGCGUUAUCCGGAUUUAUUGGGGGUAAAGGGAGCGCAGGCGGCACGGCAAGCCUGAUGUGAAAGCCCGCGGCCCAACCGCGGGACUGCAUUGGGAACUACCGGGCUGGAGUGCCGGAGAGGUAGGCGGAAUUCCUAGUGUAGCGGUGAAAUGCGUAGAUAUUAGGAGGAACACUCGUGGCGAAGGCGGGUUCCUGGACAUUAACUGACGCUGAGGCACGAAGGCCAGGGGAGCGAAAGGGAUUAGAUACCCGAGUAGUC